AACGAACGCUGGCGGCAUGCCUAACACAUGCAAGUCGAACGAGACCUUCGGGUCUAGUGGCGCACGGGUGCGUAACGCGUGGGAAUCUGCCCUUGGGUUCGGAAUAACAGUUAGAAAUGACUGCUAAUACCGGAUGAUGACUUCGGUCCAAAGAUUUAUCGCCCAAGGAUGAGCCCGCGUAGGAUUAGGUAGUUGGUGGGGUAAAGGCUCACCAAGCCGACGAUCCUUAGCUGGUCUGAGAGGAUGAUCAGCCACACUGGGACUGAGACACGGCCCAGACUCCUACGGGAGGCAGCAGUGGGGAAUAUUGGACAAUGGGCGAAAGCCUGAUCCAGCAAUGCCGCGUGAGUGAUGAAGGCCUUAGGGUUGUAAAGCUCUUUUACCCGGGAUGAUAAUGACAGUACCGGGAGAAUAAGCCCCGGCUAACUCCGUGCCAGCCGCCGCAGUAA
RNAcentral lists this ribosomal RNA (449 nucleotides) under uncultured bacterium. RNAcentral's name for it is "partial 16S ribosomal RNA". It matches the Rfam family "Bacterial small subunit ribosomal RNA", at positions 29 to 523 of the family's 1533-position model. The record is from RNAcentral.